Capsicum annuum is the source of this 1381-nucleotide long non-coding RNA. RefSeq lists it as uncharacterized. The transcript is spliced from 4 exons. Lineage: Eukaryota; Viridiplantae; Streptophyta; Magnoliopsida; Solanales; Solanaceae. The record is from RefSeq and is a predicted model, not a curated record.
UCUUUCCAGCUCCUCUUCUUAACUUGAACGCUUCUUUGUUUACCAGAAAAAAAAAAAGCUUAACUCUUUCUUCUCUGUAAAAAAAAAAAAAAAACUCCUUUACUGUGCUAAAGGAUUGGAAAUCAGCAAUCUGUUGGAUAUUUAAUUUAAUUAAUUUGUUGUUUGUGGUUAUUGUUUCUUUGCUUGCUUUCUGAUUUAGGUUUUUUGAUUUUUUAAUUGGGGCUUUUCCGUUCUAAUAGUAAAAGAAUGAAAGUUUCUUGCCUGGAGUUUUGUUUCGGAUUUCUUAACUUUCAUGCAAGAACAAGACCCAAUUCGAUUAGAUUGAAAUUUGCUGAAAGGAAGAUAUGAUGUUGAUAAUGGAUCAAUUACAUGGUGCUUAGAGAAAGAUGGAUCCUUAAUUGGAGUCUUGACCACAGAGAAUUUCAAAAGUGAAAAAAACUUCUACAAAUAUCCCCAUACGUGAGAUAUUAUUGCUACCAAACGACCCAUGUUCAAGUGCAAAUGGCAACAGGAAGAACAUAUGCUCAAUUAUGGGCACCUAUUGGCCAUUUUGUGUUCCUCAUGCUUAUGAACAAGGGAUUUCUAAUUUGCAGCAACUCUGAUUUGUAAAUUCAUUUCGUUCUAUUUUAUUCAUUCCUACUUCUAGCAUUGGAGGAUAUUACUGAAAUAUUUUGUCUUAAUGUUUCUGUGUGUAUGAAAUUUUUAUUUGAUAAUUUGAAAGAUUCAGAUUAUGAAAUGAGGGAUAAAGCAAUUAAUGAUGUUUGGGCGCUUUGAUAGUGUUGAAUCAGCAGUAUUGCUUUGCAAUGAUGAGUUCAUCCGCAAACUUAAUAAGCAUUGGAGAGAUGAGGAUAGACCUACUAAUUCCCUUAAAUAUCUCAAGAUAUACCUGAACUUGAGCUUCCAGUUGUAAGAAAAUGCUUUAAUAUUUGCAUGUCACACCUCAUGUAACAUAAAUGACUAAGACCCUGUCCAACAGUUAAUAUUGCGAGACAUUGUGAUUUCAGUGGAGACAACAUCAAGGCAAGCAGAAGAAAGGGGUCAUAGUUUACUGGACGAGAUGCCCAUCUUACCGGUGCAGGUUCAUGAUUUGCCACAUAUUUUGGGGUUCGAUCAUGAGAUUAGUGAUGAAGCUAAAGCUGAAAUGGAGAAAAAAGAGGAGUUUCUUCUAAAAAGUCUUGGGUGGAAGGAAAAAGUAUUAAUUCAGAGCGCAUAUGAUACCGAGGUUGUUGGAAGUCCUCCUUUGGAGAACAUUGGUGAUGUGCCUAAUAACAACUAAAAGACUAUGGCCUUCUAUAUUUUAUUUUUUGGGAAUUGAUAAUUUGUAUUCUUCAACAUCAAGAAAAUGUUGGUACCCUCAAAAAAGAAUUACAAUCAUAUGAAA